Molecule: ribosomal RNA, 814 nt
Filed under: uncultured bacterium
Lineage: Bacteria
Description: bacterial SSU rRNA
Rfam family: Bacterial small subunit ribosomal RNA
Source: RNAcentral
CUUAGCGGCGGACGGGUGAGUAAUGCUUAGGAAUCUGCCUAUUAGUGGGGGACAACAUUUCGAAAGGAAUGCUAAUACCGCAUACGUCCUACGGGAGAAAGCAGGGGAUCUUCGGACCUUGCGCUAAUGGAUGAGCCUAAGUCGGAUUAGCUAGUUGGUGGGGUAAAGGCCUACCAAGGCGACGAUCUGUAGCGGGUCUGAGAGGAUGAUCCGCCACACUGGGACUGAGACACGGCCCAGACUCCUACGGGAGGCAGCAGUGGGGAAUAUUGGACAAUGGGCGCAAGCCUGAUCCAGCCAUGCCGCGUGUGUGAAGAAGGCCUUAUGGUUGUAAAGCACUUUAAGCGAGGAGGAGGCUACUGAAGUUAAUACCUUCAGAUAGUGGACGUUACUCGCAGAAUAAGCACCGGCUAACUCUGUGCCAGCAGCCGCGGUAAUACAGAGGGUGCAAGCGUUAAUCGGAUUUACUGGGCGUAAAGCGCGCGUAGGCGGCUAAUUAAGUCAAAUGUGAAAUCCCCGAGCUUAACUUGGGAAUUGCAUUCGAUACUGGUUAGCUAGAGUGUGGGAGAGGAUGGUAGAAUUCCAGGUGUAGCGGUGAAAUGCGUAGAGAUCUGGAGGAAUACCGAUGGCGAAGGCAGCCAUCUGGCCUAACACUGACGCUGAGGUGCGAAAGCAUGGGGAGCAAACAGGAUUAGAUACCCUGGUAGUCCAUGCCGUAAACGAUGUCUACUAGCCGUUGGGGCCUUUGAGGCUUUAGUGGCGCAGCUAACGCGAUAAGUAGACCGCCUGGGGAGUACGGUCGCAAGACUAAAAC